RNAcentral lists this ribosomal RNA (474 nucleotides) under Fusarium equiseti. Its description in RNAcentral is "eukaryotic LSU rRNA". The stretch from base 130 to 283 matches the Rfam family "5.8S ribosomal RNA". The record is from RNAcentral. Lineage: Eukaryota; Fungi; Ascomycota; Sordariomycetes; Hypocreales; Nectriaceae.
CCCCUGUGGACAUACCUAUACGUUGCCUCGGCGGAUCAGCACCGCGCCCUGUAAAAAGGGACGGCCCGCCCGAGGACCCUAAACUCUGUUUUUAGUGGAACUUCUGAGUAAAACAAACAAAUAAAUCAAAACUUUCAACAACGGAUCUCUUGGUUCUGGCAUCGAUGAAGAACGCAGCAAAAUGCGAUAAGUAAUGUGAAUUGCAGAAUUCAGUGAAUCAUCGAAUCUUUGAACGCACAUUGCGCCCGCCAGUAUUCUGGCGGGCAUGCCUGUUCGAGCGUCAUUUCAACCCUCAAGCUCAGCUUGGUGUUGGGACUCGCGGUAACCCGCGUUCCCCAAAUCGAUUGGCGGUCACGUCGAGCUUCCAUAGCGUAGUAAUCAUACACCUCGUUACUGGUAAUCGUCGCGGCCACGCCGUAAAACCCCAACUUCUGAAUGUUGACCUCGGAUCAGGUAGGAAUACCCGCUGAACUU